RNAcentral lists this long non-coding RNA (7919 nucleotides) under Sus scrofa (pig). Its description in RNAcentral is "lncRNA (ENSSSCG00000061203.1)". The record is from RNAcentral. Lineage: Eukaryota; Metazoa; Chordata; Mammalia; Artiodactyla; Suidae.
GUUUAAAAGUUUUAAAAUAGUUGAAAAUACAGACAUCUUUAGGUACUGCUGUUACAUAUAACUGUGGAAGCAAAGUCUUGCUAAAUGGAACGGUUACUGAUGUUAAAGAACCAGGGGGUCUUACAGAUAGACUUUCAUAGGAAUUGCUCUUUAAAGCAAAAGUGACUGAGGCCCUCAGCAGACCAGCAUUUAAAGGGGUGUCAGGUGAGGAUGGUCUUAUUUAAAUAGUAGGAAAGUGCAGCAUUUACUAAAAUGGGAUUAUCGCUGGGAAACCUCAUCGUCACUGACAGGCCUCUUCAGGACCAGCUGGAUGGGAAGUAGUGGUCUUUCUACGGAAGAGCAGAUUGAGAACUGAAUGUACAGGAAGAUGCUGCUAUUGCAGUGAGUUCCUAACACCAAUUAGAGGCCAGCAGAUACUGUUGGUGAGGAAAAGGCCCCAACCCAGCUCACGCACUCCUUUCCCCCUUUUCCUUGUUCUUGUUUGCGGAGCCACAGUUGAGGCCCAGUGUUGUAAAUGUCAGGGUCACGCUUAGGAUACAGGGCGCCAGUCUGCUGGGGCCUAGGAGUCUUUGGCUUUUGUUUUUGUUUGUUUGUUUAUCUGUUUUAGCAUGUGGAAGUUCCCAGGCACCACAGCAGCGAUCUGAGCUGCUGCGCUGACAAUGCUGGCCCCUCAACCCACCUUGCUACAAGAGAACUCAGGGGCCUUAAAUCAAAAAGGUAUUCUGUAGGUUUUUCUUCAGCAAGUCUCUCUGAGGUGCUUGGAAUUGUGUAGAAAGAUGGUCUCCAGUUAGGUUUCGUUCUGGCCAGCUCUGGGAUGUGAUGAUCUUUGCUGAAUAUGAGAAAGUCCAGUCUCCCUGCUCUCCUGCUUCUGCCUUCAGUGGGAGCAGCUGGCACGGUGUCCCACUGGCACAUAUUAGGGGCUGUUUUAUUUCCACUGACUGGAGUGUAGGGUGGGGAAUGAAAUUGAAAAGAGGCCCCUAGGGGCAGAGCUGCUGCAAAAAGAAGUAGGGAAGAGUGUUUUAGAGGGCCCUUGGACAGAAUGGUGCUGACCUGAAAAAAUGGACGCUUUCUUUGCUUAGCUCCUAAGAAAUUACAGGGAAGGUGAAAAUUUAUACCGUAACUGCCAUUCUGCACUCAGUAUGGAGUCACCUUUCCAGAUGAAGCUUCCUUCACAAUUAAUGUUGGUAUUUCCAUUUUUCUUAUUUUCUAGAUUUUGGAAGAUUAUGCCAAACUUCCAUAAGAGAUGAGAAAAAUAUCUCUGAUGAAAACAAUAUACAGAUGAGUGUAAUUAAAAUGCCUUUUUUGGUGUAAGAUUGUUAAUGAUUGCUAUGCAGGAAAAAAAAAAAAAAACCCUGUUAUUUUUUUGUGAAAGAGGCUUAUUUUCAGUUGUGGCUUAUUGUGCACUUGCACCUAAAUGCACUUGCUGGAUGUAAUUCAGGCUGCUCUGAGCCAAGGACUUGGAGGAAGAGGUCCGUGUCUAUCAGCAAGACCCAUGCUGUGUAUAUGAUAUAGUGGCUUUUUCACCCUUUUGUUUACAGUGUUAUCUGAGAGACAUAGAUUCCACAGAUGGUCUUUAACUUGAGAUAUCAUGAGCUUACCAGGGUAGUUUUCAUAAAUAUUUGGAUGAAAGUUAAUAGAGGGAUGAAAACCUAAUGCAGGACUUUGUUGCUGUGAACGGUUGGUUCAUCACAUUUUGCAGCACGAAUGUUAACAUGUUAUGCAGAGUGAAAGGUCUGUACUGAAGAAAUCAACUCUUAAAGGAAUUUCUUGGUUUUUGUUGUUAACGCGGUGAUGAAGAUGUGUAUCACCAAGUCCUUAACGUGACUGCUGGUUCUGUAACCACCAUCAUCCAUGAAAACAGCAUUAUUCCAAUAGCGUUCAGAUGUUGACAAUUUACAUUUUGUGCUUUAAGAAACUGUGGAAUUUAAGUGUUAUUCUUGAAGGAUUUGGACUCCAAGUACUUUGUUUACAGCUUUGUUGCAAGAGGUAGGUAGGAGUCUGUUCACAUCUCCCCAUUUAACAUAGAAAAUGACUAACGCAAGUAAUUCAGGAAGUUUAGUCUAACACAAGUGAUAUUUCAUAGCAAAUGCUAUGAGAUUCCAUAUAAGUAAGUAGUGUUGUUCUGAUGACUGCAGCAUGUCAUACAAUCUGAUACUGCAGAUUUUGCCAAAAGUAAUCUGCUCAUUUACUGCAUAGGUAUACAAAGCCGGUUAUAGUUCAUCGGAAUAGUCUAUUUGAAACUGUUCUUUAAAUUUGUCAUCUCUAUAGGAUUUCAGUUGGAAAGUGCUUCUGUUAAAGUAACUAAUGAUCUUCAUUAGAAGUGUGUAUAUUCAUCUGUUUUAGUUUUGUGGAUUGAGCUAUGGAUCUGACACCGAGAUCAUUACCCAUCUUUUCACGGCACAUCUGCCUAGAGGUGUUUUGUUUUCUGACACCCUUUGGUGUAUUAACAAUCUGGGGAGAAUGGGGAUACGAUAUAAAUAUGUUUAAAUAAACCUAAGAAUAUGCUGCAAUCUCUAGUUCCUUUGGAUACCUUACAAGUAUGUUUGUUGUAGGAACCUCCGCUGUUUAAUGUUUUUAUUUUACAGUUUUCGGUGGUAAAGAGCAUCUUAUCUCGAGUGCAAACUCUCACUAGACAGUGAUUAUGUCUAUCUGAUGUGCAAUUUAGCAUCUAAUAAAUGUGUUUUUAUAAUGAUAAUGAAGUGAAUUUCUAAUUUUUUUAAAAUACUUAAGUAGUUGUAGAUGACAGAUGACUUUUGAAGACUGGCGGGAUUGUGAUUUGGAGAGGGUUAAUGAGUGACUUCCGGCCAGUUAAGGUAGGUAAAAUCAUUUGCUCCCGGAAUCAGAAGAAAACUGCAGCACUACUCCGGGAGACGGCUUAGAGAUCAACUUCCUUUCCAGUCUUUGGACCACGGCGAUACAGGUCCAAGUCCCUCUGGCCGCGCGGCCCAACGACAGCCUGCGUGGCCCGCGGUUUAGAGGGGAUUGAAAAGCCAGGGUGCCGGGAUUGGGCUCUACGCAUUGAGCGGCUUCGAGUUCCGUGUUCAGCUGCGCAAGACGGCGGAAAUACCAAUGAGAUACCAAUGAGACGAGACGCGCUAGAGCGGCCCAUAAGGCUGAGAACCGGAAGUCGUGCGCUCACUUCCGGCGCCUUGUCCGGGCGGUGCAGAUGCGCAUUCCUGGGGCGUCAGGGGUGUGGCGGGCGCCCCGCUGCUGUGGGGACCCGGCUCCUUGCCCUUACCAACCAUCUACCUAGAGGCGGCCUCUGCCAGAGUCCAGCGGGGAAGUGAGUGUCUGUGUAGGUGCUCCUCUCGUCUCUCCCUCCGCAUCAGCGGGAGGAUUAGUAGGAUGUGACUGUCACUGUCUAGGCCGAAGGACUACGCAUUGACCCCACUGGGGACGGGAAAAGGUGCCUCGUGGUACCUCGCCGGCCCAACCCCACUUUGGCAAUGCGCAGCUACGGGCUCGCCCCGCCUGUAUGUAUCCGACUUAUCAAAAGAGAUGAUACGCCUAUCACUUGCCCAGGGUAGGGUAUCUUCUGCAAACUAAAGAAUAUUGCUGGCCAUCCAUUUCUACAGGGCUUGAGUCUUAGCCACUGCAGUUGCUGACCUUCAGCAUGCCCUGAAAAGAACUCAGGGCAGAGAUCAGGAAGGGAGCAUUCUGCUCCAGAAAAAUUGGCAGAACAGUCUUCCAGAUACAUAUUUUAAGGAGAAAAUUUUAUGAACCCCAACUUUUGCAUCUUUCCAUACCUGGAAAAGCACCAAAACCAUUAACUAAGGUAUCUGUUGCUCAGAAUAGCAGUAACCUUCUGCAGAGGUGUGCAUGUACCCCUUUGUCAAAAUCACAAAUACACUGACGUCCUCCCUAAUUUCAGAAGUUUCUCAGAGCUGAAGGCUGUCUGCCCAGCUAAGUGUCUCAGUAAGAUACUGAAUAAACUUGACUCACGAUUUCCACCCCCCCCCCACAUCCAGGGCAUGGGGAAGUUCCCCAGGCUAGGGAUCAAACCCAUGCCACAUCUGUAACUAAAGCCACAGUGGUGACAAUGCCAGGUUCUUAACCCAUUGAGCCACCAGGGAACUCCCAACUUCCAACUAAGUUGUGCAUUUUUUUUAAAAAAAGUUGACACUUUUCUCUAGAACCAGUGCCAGUCUCUUCGCUUGAUUUCUAUGCGCUCCAUACCCAAAUUCUAACAUGCUUCUGGUUACUUAGAGUGUAACCAGAUGAGCUCAUUUGAGUACGUGGUCCUUCCCACUAUUGGCAACCCCACAGCCAGCUUAGCCACUGCCAUGAUUACAAAUACCUCACUUUAAGUCUAGCCCCAAUUCUUCCUCUCUCCUGCACUCUAGAUCCCUAUACUCAUGCCAAUGAGAGAUCUUCCUUGCUUCUCUGAGGCAGCAAAACACAUGCCCCAAACAGAGCGCAUGCUUUUAGUCCUCCUGUUUGCCUCCAGCAUGUGGUGCCACAUCCACACAACUGCUCAUGCUACCAACACACACUACUUCCUCUGCUCCUCAAACACCACAGCCACAGUAAUGCAGGAUCCAAGCUGCAACUGCAACCUACACCACAGCUCACGGCAACGCCGGAUCCUUAACCCACUGAGCGAGGCCAGGGAUUGAACCUGCAACCUCACAGUUCCUCGUUGGAUUUGUUUCCAUUCUGCCACGAUGGGAACUCCUGGUAGAGUUCUCCUGUGGCAAAACGACUGCAGGCCAGCUGUGUGGUCAGCUCACUCCUUGUGCAAAAGCAACUUUUGUCUCUCUCAGAAAAAAGUGUCUGGUUGUACAACUUUGCGACUAUAAUAAAAACUACUGAAGUGCAUACCCCCCCCCCAUUUGGCAGUGCCCCCAGCAUGUGGAAGAAGUUCCUGGGCCAGGGACUGAAUGCAUGUCACAGCAGUGACCUGAGCCCCAGCAAAGACAAUGCCUGAUCCUUAACCCACAAUGAAUUCCUGAACUGAAAACUUUAAAAAGGAGUUCCCCUGUGGCUCAGUGGCUAACAAAUCGACUAGGAACCGUGAAGUUGCGGGUUCGAUCCCUGGCCUCGCUCAGUGGAUUAAGGAUCUGGCGUUGCUGUGGCUGUGGCGUAGGCUGGCGGCUACAGCUCCGAUUGGACUCCUAGCCUGGGAACCUCCAUGUGCCGCAGAAGCGGCCCAAGAAAUGGCAAAAAGACAAAAAUAAUAAUAAUAAUGCUCGAAUGUAGAAAACAAAGUAUCAGAGACAUGAAAAUAAUUUGUGUUACCAACAUGCCUUAUUUUUGUACAGACCUGAUAGGAAAGCUGCUUUUGCCUUUUCUGUGCAGAAUAUCUUGUAAGAUGAGCUAUUAGAACCAUUAGCAUUUGCAAUGACUUAUCUCUGUGUUAGAGUUUUCUCAAUAACUAUACAACCAGAAUAAAUAUCGAAUAAACUGGAUGUUAAUAAAAGAAUGCAGUUCUUCAAAAAGAUUUUUUUAGGGGGUCUUUUUAGGGCUGCACCUGCAGCACACAGAAGUUCCCAGGCUAGGGAUCGAAUCAGAACAGUAGCCAGCCUAUGCCACAGCCAUAGCAAGGCAGGAUGCGAGCCACGUUUGUGACCCAUGGCAACGCUGGAUCCUUAACCCACUGAGCAAGGCCAGGGAUUGAACCUGUGUCCGCAUGGAUACUAGUCAGGUUCGUUAACCACUGAGCCAUGACAGGAACUCCUCCAAAAAGGUUUUUAGAAAUUGAAAAGAUGUGUGCUUUGGUUUAGGUACUGUUUCCUUCCACAGAACCCACCUGCUGCAAAAGUAAAAGAACAUCCCAGGGUUUCCAAGAACCGAGCGUGGGAGAAUUUUUACCAGGGAGUGGAGGACACUCUGGAAUGAAUGGGAAAGCAAGGCGAAAGGAGAGCAGAUGCACGUCUCCGCUGGGAGACAGUGCUUCCUGCUCCACAUCUCAGCCCACCCAGGGCAAACACUGCUUUGGGAUCUAACUCGGCGCCCCGACUGCCUCCGCCUACCCUUUACUGCUGAGAAGCAAACUCCUCCAUCAGUCCUUUCUCCUGGGCUCCCAUCUUUCUGUCCUGAGAGCACAUGUCUGACUGCUGGUGUGAUCUUGGACAUGUGAUUCUCAAAAUCCUGGACCACAGAGGCCUCUUCCCAUCCUCUUCCAGAACAGAGCCUGUUUCCCAGGAAACUGUCCUGCUCAGGGUGGUUAUGUUUCAGAGCUGGACCUACAGGACAUGCUCUCUGGGGGUGUCUGGGUCCCCGACAUGCCUCACGUCACCUUUGCCCUGAAAAAAACACACACCUUGCUGGUGGGCUUCUUCCCAAUAUUCAGAGGAGUUCCAGCGGACAGAUGUUUACAAAGCCUUUGCAUGGGGCCUUCUAGAGGCUGUAACACGCUCCCCCUCAUUCCGGGUCCUCCGCACUGGCUCACCCCCUCCUCCCGGUACCCACAGAAGCAACCAGGGCUCCGGGGCAAAAGCCCUCGAGGAUGGAAGUCUCUCUCCUUAGAACAUAAAAGCACCAGGAUGCCCCCCAUGUUCACUGCACCCCGGGAAGUGGCGAGUUCCCUCCUCUACGAACCUUUCUAACAAGAGCUUGGGUGACAGUUCAUCGGGGUGCGGAAGGAGGAUCUGAGCCACAGGCAGUGUGGCCGAGCUUGGGUUUCUUCCAGCGCUGGGCUGCGAUUUUGAGUAGGUGUGUGUGGAGGAGUGUCGGGUGCUUGAUCACCUUCCCCUUUCGCUGGGGGUCGGCUCUGCCGGGGGCAGCCUUGCUCACCAGGAGGCACUUCCAGGGGCGGCUGGACCAGACCCAUGAGAGCCACCCCAAAGGAGGGCAAGACCUCUUGAUGGGCAAGGCAUUCGUGAGCCGAGGAGCCUUGGCCUGAGUGCUGGGCACUGGCCACGAUGGGGGCUUGUAACUCAGAUCCUCUCAUUUCAACUUUAUAGAGCUGAAGAAGCACGUUUGAAAGGGGAACAAGGAGUUCCUGUUGUGGUGCAGCGGAAACGAAUCCGACUAGGAACCAUUAGGUUGCAGGUUCAAUCCCUGGCCUCACUCCGUGGGUUAAGGAUCCAGCGUUGCCGUGAGCUGUGGUGUAGGUCGCAGACGCGGCUUGGAUCUGGCAUUGCUGUGGCUGUGGCAUAGGCCAGGGGCUACAGCUCCGAUUCAACCUGUAGCCUGGGAACCUCCAUGUGAUGCAGGUACGGCCCUAAAAAAACACAAAAGACAAAAAAAGAAAAGGAAAGAAAAGCAAGGGGUACUAGAGCUGGGAUGAACUCUAGGUCUGUCCAAAGCCAAAGUCAUGCACACGUGGUGCUGGGGUCUGGAUGACUGCGCCCGAAUUCCCGUGCUGAAUCCUCGCUCCCAGUGUGAUGGUUGGGGUCAGAAGGGUGGCAUCUUGAUGCCAGAGCCUGCAGAGCGCCCCCUGCCUUUCCACCAGGUGAGGGCACAGCCCGUCUCCGCACCAGAAUUCGACCUGACCCCGCCGGUGCCUGACCUCAGACGUCCAGCCGCCAGAACUGUUGCUUGUGAGCCAGCAAGUCUGCGGGAUUUUGUUAGAGCGGCCUGGACAGACUAAAAUGCUUGGCUACACUGAACUGUGUCCCGACGCUCCUGAAGUUUUCCCAAAGGUCAAACAAAUGCCUGGAAAUUCUUCUUUGGGACACUGUCUUCAGCCUGAACACCUGGUCCCACACGAACUAUACAUCCCUCUGCAGGGUCACGUCCUGGGCUCUGUUGUCUCCUGUGCCAGGCUCAGAUGCAACGCAGGCCUUCCCUCAACCGAUGAAAACACACUGCUCCUGUCCCCCCGGUGCCGGUGGGGCCCCCCGCCACCCCCCAGUCUCACGCAGACACCCCCUGACGGGACCCAGCUGAGCCCUAACUUGUAACCUUUAUCUUUGGCCGUUCCACCCUCGAGGCUGCUCCUGCCUGGGACGCCCCCACCUGCCACCUGCGUCUCU